UACGUAGGUGGCAAGCGUUGUCCGGAAUUAUUGGGCGUAAAGAGCAUGUAGGCGGAGAUUUAAGUCUGUUGUGAAAAUGCGGGGCUCAACCCCGUAUUGCGAUGGAAACUGAAUUUCUUGAGUGCAGGAGAGGAAAGGGGAAUUCCCAGUGUAGCGGUGAAAUGCGUAGAUAUUGGGAGGAACACCAGUGGCGAAGGCGCCUUUCUGGACUGUGUCUGACGCUGAGAUGCGAAAGCCAGGGUAGCGAACGGG
Molecule: ribosomal RNA, 252 nt
Filed under: uncultured bacterium
Lineage: Bacteria
Also listed under: 1 other name
Description: partial 16S ribosomal RNA
Rfam family: Bacterial small subunit ribosomal RNA
Source: RNAcentral